ACGUACGUACAAGCAUACUAAGAGAAGUAAGACCGUUUACAUUCGCGAGUUCGACAUUAAACCGAAAGUCGCGAUCGAUUGCAUAGAAACAGGGAGAAGAAAGAGGGAUUAAACGGAUCACGUCGAGGAAAAGAAAGCGAGAGGAAGAAAACGGCGAAGCAGAUGGUGAUGUUGGAGUGUAGACUCGUUACUCAGUAGUGUGCAUUUGUGCAGUAAGGUGGUCGCGAUUACCAUCUGACGGUCGCAGGCAGUCGCAGGGAUAGGCAGAGGCAAUCACAGUCGCAAGCAGGGCACUGACACUUCUUGUCGGCUCUCGACGGCUCGGGCUCUUGCCGGCUUGCCGGACGAUUUUGGGAACAAGAUCGCUUUUACCUUUAUUUCGUCUUUUUUUAUCUUCGUUUUAUUUUAUUUUUAUGAUUACGAAAGCUUUGUCUUGUGUAGCUUCGAUGUAAAUUGGAGCCAACAGCCAGGGACAGGACGCUAUCACCUUCACCUACUCGGUGCACAGGAACGGGAUGCAAACGCAAAAAACAAAAAGUGAGCGCGCCCACCAUACCAGUGGCACUACCAGUGGUACUUAUUAAUGCGAAGUGCAUGUGCAAGCCGCGAUCUUGUUUCGCGGCGCAUUCUUGAACCUUCUGGCGAUGCUGACGGGGUCACUGCGGCUAAUGCAGCUACAAAGAAUAGGACUGACAUGAUGGUGUACCCGGACCCCCAAUGGACUUGUUCGUCAACGGCUCCCAUGCUUCAACUUUACGAUGAUGUCAGCUAUCGAGUAAAUGUGGUCGAAGCUCUACAAGAGUUCUGGCAAAUGAAACAAGCCAGAGGAGCUGAUCUUCGGAAUGGUGCCCUUGUAAUAUAUGAAUCUGUUCCCUCAAAUGCACAACCCUACGUGUGUUACGUAACUCUACCAGGAGGUUCCUGCUUCGGAAGUUUUCAGAACUGUCCGACGAAAGCCGAGGCACGCCGAAGUGCAGCGAAAAUAGCUUUAAUGAAUUCCGUUUUUAAUGAACAUCCAUCUAGAAGGAUAUCAGAUGAUUUUAUUGAAAAAGCUGUUGCGGAAGCUCAGUCGUCAUUUAAAGGUGAAAGUGAAGAAGCCGAUAACCCAAACACAGGUAUCGGAGCCUUUAGGUUUAUGUUGGAAUCUAACAAAGGCCGAACGAUGCUAGAAUUUCAAGAAUUAAUGACAGUUUUUCAGUUAUUACAUUGGAAUGGGAGCUUAAAAGCCAUGCGGGAGAGGCAGUGUAGUAGACAAGAAGUUGUUGCCCAUUAUUCAAAUAGAGCAUUAGAUGAUGAUAUGAGAUCACAGAUGGCACUAGACUGGAUAGCUAGGGAACAAGAGAGUGCAGGAUCGAUUAGAAAGGAACUGAAUCAAGCAGAGAGAGAGCUUGAAUCUGCUAGAUUAGCUGGACGAGAACUUAGGUUUCCCAAAGAAAAGAAAGACAUUCUGAUCUUGGCGCAUAGUCAGUUGUAAAUACGUUCAUGUUGAAGAGGAACCACAUUCACCAUUAAAAAGGAAGAUAUCGUCUAAUUUUGUGGCUGGUGUUCCUUAAACAUCAAGAUUGAUCUCAAGAAAAGCCCCUGUGACUGUUCUGAAACGGCUCCCUUUGUUUUGAGACGCAUUAUCCCCAUACAGGUAUAGAGGUUGCCGAGAAAUAAUUUACUAAGUAAAAUUGAUUAUCCAUUUCAAAAAUAACAUAAUUAAUAUGAAUGUAAUGUAGGAUCAGUUUCAUUGGUGCUGACGUCACAAAUUAUAAACAUAUUUAAACCUAUAAAUGCAACUAUAUCUUGUUUAAGUUCUUAUUACUGAUCAUUACAAUCAUGUGAGACUAAUGCUGGUUUAAAAUUAACUUCUUACAUAAUUUUAUUAUGAUUUGUAGUAUUUAAUUUUAUUUAAAUUAAAUAUACUAUAUGACGUCAGUAUCAAUAAAAUAAUGUCACAUAAUAUACAGCGAGGAAUAAAAUUUUGGAAUAAAUUAAUGUCUUCAAGAAUAGGUGAAUUGAAAAACAAAUCCCGAAACAAGUCGAUUUUUUUAAAUCAUGAUUUUUUGGCAUAUAGGUCUGGAUCCCGCGUACCAAAAAAAGUAGAUUCAUAGCAAGCUGAAAAUUUGUUAAUAGCUUAACGGUGUCUAGUCGGACAAACCUUGAUGUACGGGAACACUGGAACAAGGCAAAUUUUAAUUGUGGAACAGGUUAAAAAUUUGGAACGUCAGGCUACGAAAAGUCCAAUAUAUUUUGUCGGACAGAACUUCCAAUUGAUUUGUUACCGUUUCAUUAAACUCUCAUGCAAAAAUCAGACUGCUAUUUAUCACCAACAUAAUUCCUGUCAUUUGACAUGUUCUACGUGUCGGACUUAUUAAAAUGCCCAGUUGAUGAUAAAUACCAGUCUGAUUUUUGCAUAAGAGUAUAAUGAAAGGGUAACAAAUCAAUUGGAAGUUCUGUCCGACAAAAUACAUGGGACGUUUUUGUAGUCUGACGUUCCCAAUUUUUAACCUGUUCCACAAUUAAAACUUCCCCUGUUCCAAUUUUCCCAUACAUAAAAGUUUGUCCGACUAGACACCGUUAAGCUAUUAACAAAUUUUCAGCUUGCUAUUAAUCAGAGUCCAAAUUAAAAGAUGUGAUACACCUACUAUAUGAGAAAAAUUUACCACUGGAUAUCAUAAAACUGAUAGAAAACAUAUAUGUAAGAAAUAAAAUAGAAAUGAAAGUCAAUGGAAUAAUAACAGAACCCAUAGAAACAAACACAGGAAUCAGGCAAGGAGAUUCACUAAGUCCUCUACUGUUUAACAUAAUAUUGGAUGCAAUAAUAAAACAAGUGAAGAAAAAAAGAGGGUACAAAAUGGGCAAUAGAGAGAUAAAAAUACUCUGUUACGCUGAUGACACUGUGUUAAUAGCAGAGUGCGAAGACGACCUACAAAGAUUAUUGCACGAGUUCAAAAUUAACGCAAAAGAAAUGAAUAUGAAAAUAUCAGCCCAAAAAACAAAAAGGUUAGUAAUUGCCAAAGAACCAAUAAGAUGCAAAUUGGAAUUAGACAAUCAAAUUAUACAACAAGUAAUGACUUUCAAAUAUCUGGGAAUUAUUCUAUCAGCCGACAACAAUAUCAAAGAAGAGGUAAAAGACCAAAUAAUUAAAGCCAGUAGAACGGCCGGAUGCCUAAACGACACAAUUUGGAAAAACAAACACCUAAGAUUGGAAACAAAGGCCCGAAUAUAUAAGUCAGUUAUUAGGCCAGUUAUGACUUACACGGUCGAAACAAGACCAGAUACAAGCAAAACACGAAGACAUCUGGAAACCAACGAAAUGAAGAUCUUAAGAAGGAUGGUGGAAAAGGACUACAGGAUAGGGUAAGAAGUGAGGAAAUCAGACGCAUGUGUGGGGUAGACAAUAUAAAUACCUGGGUAAAGAACAGAAAAGAAGAGUGGAAUGAGCACAUAAUGAGCACGUAAGAAUAGCCAGGGACAAGUCACCGUUAGGCAGGAGAAGUAUAGGACGCCCAAGGAAAAGAUGGAAUGACAACUUAGGGGCAGACAUAGGCGUAACCAGGGGGGGUUUUGGGGGUUAUAACCCCUCCCAUUGGGAUGUACUUUGAGCUCUAUAUGCUUAACACCAUACCCCUCGGAGACCUUCCAGUAGUUGUAACCCCCCCUUUCCAGUAGUUGUAACCCCUCCUUAGGAUUGUCCUGGUUACGCCUAUGGGGGCAGAAUGAAAGGCACCGUUGAAGAAAAACAGGCAGUACUGCCUAUAUAAAAGAAGAAGAAGAAGAAGAAAAAGAAGAAGAAGAAGAAGAGCUAUUAAUCAACUAUUUUUGAUACGCGAGAUCCAGGCCUAAUACUCAUAUCAACAAUAUGGACCCAAUAUAGAGGUCACAGAUGGAUAAAUAAACACUACUACUACCUCGGUACCAUAAUAAAAUUAAAAAAUUUUGGGUCAUCCUCUAUGCAGAAUUGUAAUAAUGUUUAUAUCACUGAAUAGAUAAUUAAGUAGCCUUUUAAAUGAGCUAGAUGCUCAGAUGCUCAGAUGGAAAACCUCACUAGUAUGAAAUAUAUGCCAAACAAAUGAUAAUUUAAAAAUAAAAAUCGACCUAUUUAGGGAUUUGUCUCCAAAGUUGACUAUUCUCCAUUUGCCAUUUAUUCCAAUUAAUCAAUUGGCUACAAUUAAAAAACCCAAAUUAAAAUACAGAGAUAAUAGAGUGAGAACUAAACCAUCAUGUAUAAAUACAAUAAUAGUCAAAAACAUCAAAAUGGUCCAACAAAAAGGUAGUCAAAAAAUGAAUGCAUCUAAACUUUGAUUCAAAAAUAGGAAAUCCAUUUGACUGUUAUAAAUUAAUGAAGAAAGAAGAGAAAUCAAAACUGUCAUAAAUUAAAUAAAAACAAUCAAUCAAUUAUUAACGUCCCCCAGUCUCCAAAUAAUCAUUUAUUACUCAAUACUGUUUUUUAAUAUGUACCUAUACAUUUAUAAUUAAAAAAUUGACAUGAACGGGUCUCUCCAAUUUUAGUCUAGGCGGUAUCUGCUCUAAAACACCCCCCAUUUGGUUAAAUCGUAUACUAUUUUUGCUUUAAUCGAUUCGAAGUAUUAUUGAAAAUAAUAAUUAAACCACGCGGACACGUCAAAAGGUGGUCUAAAAUUUUUAUUAAACAAUUUGUGAAAAAAAAAUUGGAAACAUUAAAUUUUUUUCUCUAAUUUUGGUUACUAUAUCUCGGCAUCUAUGUAUUUUAGAAAAAUGUUGUGAAUAUAAUAGAGGUUUUGCAAUUUAAUUUUCCUAUCCUAAUUCCGACAGAAUUGAUUGCAAAUUGAAAAAAUAAUUAUUAUUAUUGCAAAAUUAGUAAAAAUGUCUUCAAUAAUUUAUUUUUUAUUCAAUACGAAACGUUAAGAAUGGAAGAAAGAAAAAAAUUCAAACUAAAAGAACUUUCAAAAUUUACACCGAAACUCUUUUUAACAUAAAAAACACAUUUCACACUAAAUCUCAACACAAUUAAUUUUCAAAAUUAUGCAGAGCCAACAAAAAAGUUUAGCAGUUUUUAAAUACUUGAAAUAAACAAAUAGAAUAACUUUUUUUCAAUUGUCAAUUAACAUUUAUUUUCCUUAUAUCGAAGGUUCAGCGCAAGAUGCGUAAUCAAAAAAACUUUAAGGUUGGUCAAGUAGUUUCAAAAUUAUGAUCGAUCAAAGUUGACCGGCAUUUACAACAGUAGUACAAAGGCCGCAUAUGAAAUGCCUCCCGAAAAAGGGUUUCUUACCUGUCGCUACAAUGGUCACAUACGAAUUGCCUCCCAAGCUUUAAAUAAAUUACAUGCUUCUAAUCUUUAUGUGAAGGUGAGACGUUGCCACAUCUUCGUCCCUUUGUAAGUUUUUGGCAAAAUUGGUAUUUUGUUAUUUAAUUUAUUUUAGUUUCAACCUUUAUGUAUUAAACAUUAUUCACACUAGACGGUAUUUAUAAAUUUCAACUAACUUAUACAUAUGCAAUUAGUUUUAUAACCAUUAUAAUAUAUUUUAUAAUAACCAUUAUUUUUGGUUAGUAAUAAUUUAACAAAAAAUACAAAAACAUAAUAAGUAUUUUAUAGAUUUAUUAAAAAUAACAUCACAAAAAACUUAUUUGGAAAAUAUUACAAAAUGUGUAUAAAAAUAUAAAAUUACAAAAUAGUUUUCCUAAAUUUAUAUGAUACUACUUUGACAAAUUAUAAUCUAAUUUAUUUUACAUUCUCUUAAUUCUAAAAUUUUUUCAUUUAGAAAAUUUAUUUUUGCUGUACUUUCCGCAACAAUUUAAUGUAGGUAUUUAUUUGAAAUUGUAAAAUUAUAUCAAUAAAAUUAUUAAUGUUAGAAUGAGGGCAGUAGAAAGAAGAAUCAUACUUUGAAUGAAAACUUUCGCAUGGGUUUGUGGUUCUUUGUAAGGAUGAAGAGUGUUCAGCCCAAACUUCAUCCCUUUUUCACAUCCCUGUGUUUUCACAAAUGCUUUGCAGGUUUUUUUAGUACAUGUCCACCGUUUUACUGUAUCUUUGGCCAACAUUUUUUGAAAACCGAAUGUAAAACCAUCAAUUGAUAGUAAAGGUUUGCCCUUUUGACCAGGCGCGGAUCCAAGGGAGGGUCAAUGGGGUCAAUUGCCCCCUCCUUGAGACUUCGCCUGGUGUCGCCUUUUUUUAAGAAAGAGAUAAUUACGAUUGAAAAUAAAUAGUGAGUUUUAAGUCCUGUUGACAAACUGAAUAACGGAAUGAAACAUAAAACAGAAUUCCUUCUCCAAAGUACGUGUUCUCGGUCUUACUGUAUGGUGCCGAGUCUUGGACUGUGAAUAAAAUCGAUCUACUUGAUAAAUCGCCUCGAGGCUUUCGAAAUAUGGUUCUAUAAAAGAACUUUAAAAGUAUCUUGGGUGAAGAAGAUUCGAAACUCCACAAUACUAGAACGUCUCAGCAAGACUACUGAGAUUAUAGAAGACAUCAAGAAGAGAAAAGUGGAGUAUUUUGGACAUGUAAUGAGAAGUUUCCAAUAUAGGCUGCUACAAAAUGUUAUGCAAGUGAAAAUAGAAGGCAAACGCAGUCCAGGACGAAAAAGCACUUUCUUGGUUGAUUUAGGGUGGCAGUGAAUAAAAUUUAGAUAGCUAUGAUAGUAACCAACGUUCUAGAAGGACAUGGUAUAUGAAGAAAAAUAAAGUAACAGCCCAUACCGAAAAAGAAUCCUGAGUACGCGAGUGACGAGAAAAUUUUUAUUUCAUUGCCCCUUGCAAGGUCGCUGGAUCCGCCGUUGCUUUUGACUGACUCUUAUCGUUGAUUCCAUUAUUUCGGAUGUUAUGACAAACACAAUUUGAUCUUGAAAUCGACGAACUGACAAGCUUGAAAUAGACAAACUGACUGAUGCAGGAACUAAUAAACUUUCAAGAAUUUAUACAACAUAGCCCAUUAGCACAAUUUACAAAAGAGAAUAUAAACAAACAAAAAGAUUAAGGUAAAAGUACCUAUUUAUGGAAUUAUAAAAUGGACUUAUAAAAUGGACUAUAAAAAAUUUGGAAGAGAUUAUAAUCGGAAUUGGAAUUUCCCAGAAAAGCUGGUUAUUAGAUCGUUGGGUGUGGUUUGUUCAACAGUAAAUGGUUGAGUUCAAUUAGUGCGGUCGUAAAUAUUAUUAAAUUUAUCUGACCUGUCCCAUGGUUAAGACCCAUCCGGAGCGAUAAGCCACCGAGGUAGACAGAGUUGGUCUUUUGCAAUUAACACUUACUAGACGGUACUCCCAUAAGAAAGCCUGAAAUAAAUUUUACCUGAAACCGGGCCUUUUAUACUAUUAUCGGUUAAUCCAGGAUGUUUAUAGUGGUAACUAAUUGAACUAAACCAUUUACUGUUAAACAUACCAUAAAAACUUUCUUUUCUAAAAAGAAAUAUGUCGUACUGUGAAAUAUUUACGUGAAACAAAUUUUAUGUACACUGCAUUAAGAAUUAGAAAAAUCAAAAUAGAUAGAUACUACCUAUUUAAAUUAUGAUUUGGCAACGUUGUGUCAUUAUACAGAGAUUAAGUAGACAAAAUAUCAGCGUAAAUGAUUAAAGAAACGGAGGAAUUUCGAUUGUACCUGGGAGGCAUUUCAUGUAUGAAAAUAUUUACCUGAAAAAGUGGGAGGCAUUUCGAUAACGCCGAGUACAAAAGUUUGAAGUCUGCUUUUUUUAUCAAAUACUUUUGUUGUGCCAAGUACUUUGUAGAUAUAAAUUUUCACCUUUUUUCUUUUGUGCAACCUGGUUAAAACGUUGACUCAAAUCUUUAGAAAUACAGAAAAAUAGUAAAGAGUUUCGAGGGUUUUCGGCACUAAAUUGAUAAAAACAGAUUACUCGGGGGGCGGGGAUAUUGGGGUUGCUGAAUAAUAAUACGCUAUCAGAACCGACGCCCCGUGCACUAGGUGCCCAAAAACCUUCCAAAUUCCAGAAGAUGACAUGCCUUAACAGUGAUGUUGUCACCAGAUGGUCCGGGGUCAGUUCUGAUGGCGUAUUCGUAUUCAGCUACCCCAAAAACCGCCUAUACUAAAUUUACAAUCAAGAUGCAGUAGAAAUAAACAAACCAAGAUACGUUAAAUGCUACUAAGAGCAGUCCCAAAUCAUAAUUUACAAUGUAUAUACAUUGUAAAUCCCAAAACAUGAUUUCCAAAGUUUAUACAUUGUAAAUUAUGAUUCGGGAGUGCUCCUAGUAGCAUUUAACGUGUCUUGUUUUGUUUAUUUUUACUGCAUCUUGAUUAUAAAUUUAGUAUAGUUAUCUAUUUACUUGCAUUCAGUUCCGAAAACCUUCGAAACUCCAGAAGUGACGUCCUCAGCAGUGAUCGUGGGCACCAGGUGCUCCGGGAGUCGGUUCUGAUGUCGUAUUCGUGUUCAGCAACCCCAAAAAUCCCCACUAUAAUCUGUUUGCAUCAAUUUAAUGCCGAAAACCCUCGAGACUCUAGAAUAUGAGGUGCCUUAGCAGUGACACUGGGUACCAGGUGUUCCGGGGGUAGAUUCUGAUGGCGUAUUCGUGUUCAGCGACUCCAAAAAUCUCCAAAUAAUCUAAUUGCAUUAAUUUAGUGCCGAUAACCCUCAAAUUUCCAAACGACGUGCCUUAGCAGUGACCCUGGACACCAGGUGCCCCGUUGGUCGGUUCUGAUGGCGUAGUCGUGUUCUUUCUCUUCAAUCCUGAGCCCCCGGAGGGAGUGUAGUAGUCGAGGUGAUGUUGUGUAUUGUCCGUCUCCAAAGAUCUCUCUCUGGUUAUUUCUUUUAACUCAUGCAUAGGUCUUUUGCAUAUUUCUCUUCCUUGCAUAUUCCCUUGCCAGAUCUUCCUCGUGAUCUUCGGCCUUCCACCUUCCCUUAUAUAAUAAGUAUUUUCAUGUUUUCUGUGUUUGCUCUCAUAACAUGUCCAAAGUAUUUUUAAUUGUUGGAGAUGGACUUUACUGGAGAGUCGUUGACUAACUUUUAGCUCUCUUAAAAUUGAAUUAUUUGUCCUAUGAUCGGUCCAAGGAAUUCGUAGCAUUCGUCUUCAACAGAACAUUUCAGUGGCGUCUAUCUUUCUUCUUUCUUAUUUUCUCAUGGUCUAAGAUUUUCAUCCGUAGGUCAGUAUUGGGAAUAUUAAGCAAUUGAUUAACCUCAUGUUUAACUACCUUGAAAUUUGAGUCCUUCCAUAUUGUGUUCAUUUUUGCUGUGGCAACUUUUGCUAGAUCACAUCUACGUUUUAUUUCUUCCUGUAGUGACCCUGUGUUUGUGAUUAAUGAUCCCAGAUAUAAGUAUGAGCUCACAGCCUCAAACCGGUCAAUUGUGGUUAUGUGUGGAUGAUUGUUAUGUAGUCUAUCCACUAUCAUGAUCUUUGUCUUUGACAUGUUUAAUUGUAGACCAAAUAUUUGACUUUCGUUUUCAACCAGUCGUAUAAGUCAAUCAGCUCUGCUUGGCUAUUUGCAAGAAGGGAUGUGUCGUCUGCGAAACGUAGGUUGUUUAUUUAUAUGACCAUUUAUUGAGAUACCUUUUUCCCAUCCUUCAAGUUCUCUUCCCAUAGUAUGCUCCCCAUAUAUAUUGAAUAAUUGUGGAGAUAGUAUACAUCCCUGUCUGACACCCUCAAGUCGUGUUCAGCGACACCAAAAACCCCGUAUUUUAACAUUGUUAUGUAUUUUUAAAUUUAUUUCAUGCACUUUAAAAUGCAAUUAUGCAUUUUCACACAUUUUUCCAUAGUAAAUUUUUUUCCUGACAUCAUCCUGGACACAAUGCAAAAAGUUUCAAGUCUCUAGGUGCUGUAUUUAAAAAUCGAUUUAUUUUGUGCUAAAUGCCUGGGUCUAUGACCUUUUGAAGUAUCCGCAUAGUGAACUCGUCAUUUCCAAUAAUCCAUAAAGAUAAAUUUCCUCUAACUGGCUGUAUACCAUUAAUUACAAAAAUUUAAGAAAAUCUUCCGUGUAAAAGGUAUAUUUAUUUUAAUGUAGCCCUUUAUUGGGGUUUUAUAUAAAUAUACCUUUUACACAGACGAUUUUCUUCAAUUUCCAAUAAUAUUUUGAAGCGAUUGAAGCCAAAAAAAUAGCAUAUACGGUUUGGAAAUCCCUUAACAGAUACCGCCAGCUCUAUAAUAUAUACUAAUUUAAUUUUGUAAAUACUUGUAGAUUCAAAACAGCAAAUUAAAUUAUAAAUUAAUUCGAUGUAAUGUAACCAACACUUUUUCUGGUAGACCACAUCUGUAUAAUAUGUUACUUUUAUUAGUGAAAUAAGUGUUUUCGCAUUUUAGCCUGUGAUAAAUGUAUUAGAUAGGUGUAAUAGCAUUAAAAAUGUGGAAUAAGGGUUGUUACUCAAAUAAUUUUUAACUGCUUUAAAAAACAAAAAUGUAAUGAUUAUGUUUUGUUAUCUAUGUAAUGUAAGCUAAUGCUAUUUUUAUUAUAGUUUUUAAUAUCGACUGAUUACAUAUCGCUAUUUGCUGGUAUAAUGCUAAAUAAAAAUGUUUAAACAUUUAAUCAAAUAAAUUUUAUAAAUAAAUA
Molecule: unclassified non-coding RNA, 10437 nt
Filed under: Diabrotica virgifera virgifera (western corn rootworm)
Lineage: Eukaryota; Metazoa; Arthropoda; Insecta; Coleoptera; Chrysomelidae
Description: protein limb expression 1 homolog
Source: RNAcentral